AUUAUUUUAAGAUUCGAGAACUGAACUGAAAUCGUACCGAACCGAAUCAUAAUCGAAGAACCUAGAACUUUACCGAUCGGAAUCGAAACAAUGAAGAACUGAACCGAAAUCGUACUGAAAUUUCCAUUCUAUUCCGGUUCUUAGGCAAACUCCAAAUCGAACCGGAACCAAACACCCUUAGGUCUGUCCAUUCUCCAACUUACAA
Molecule: unclassified non-coding RNA, 205 nt
Filed under: Hevea brasiliensis (rubber tree)
Lineage: Eukaryota; Viridiplantae; Streptophyta; Magnoliopsida; Malpighiales; Euphorbiaceae
Source: RNAcentral